Molecule: long non-coding RNA, 453 nt
Organism: Neltuma alba
Lineage: Eukaryota; Viridiplantae; Streptophyta; Magnoliopsida; Fabales; Fabaceae
Exons: 3
Source: RefSeq, a predicted model, not a curated record
CCUUCAACGAUCUCCUGGUGCUUCACUGUCUCUGCCUUCCUUGUUUGGAUGUUGAUGUUUGCCGUUGCAAGUUUGAUUAAUCUAUACAUGAUUCACGUGAACAUCCAUAGUCUCAUGAUUCACAAGGUUUCACCUGACUUUGUUUACAAGGUAAGUACACAUUUAAUUUAUGGUGCUUAUGUAUAAAUAUGAUUUUAAACAAAUUUCUCUUCUCUGAAUAUAUCCAAUAAUUUGAGGAUGAUAUAUUUGUUCAUACAGUAUUUAGUAUCAGAGCUAAAAUCUCUGGUGGAUGAAUCACUAAGGCCAGGGCCUGAAAGAAGGAGUACGAACAUAAUGCUUAUGGACUGAAGAUGAGAAGUGGGAAGCGGUCUGGUCGUGCUCACAACAAAGAAAGGGAAUCUGAUGAAAGGAACAAUGAAAUACCGAAGAAGAUCGCUCGCACUUACUUGGAAG